UACAAUGCCACCGAGAAAAAGGUUUACUAAGUGUGAAAUAUGUGGCAAGCGAGCCACUCGAGAAAAUCACGAAAAAAGGGAUUUUAUGGCGAAAUUUCCCUUGGAUAAAGACCGAUGCAGGCAGUUGGUCAAAUUUGUUGGGAACGAAGACCUGAUACAUCUUCCCAUAGAAAAGUUACAUUUAUUGAAACAUGUAUCUGCAGAUCAUUUUGAAAAUAGUGCUUUUAAUAAAAAAAAAUAAGAAAAAAAUA
Long non-coding RNA from Cydia pomonella (codling moth), 251 nucleotides. RefSeq lists it as uncharacterized. NCBI's taxonomy places the organism in Eukaryota, Metazoa, Arthropoda, Insecta, Lepidoptera, Tortricidae. The transcript has 2 exons. The record is from RefSeq and is a predicted model, not a curated record.